AGACAACUGGCGUGUGCGCGAGUCAUUGGGUGUAAACCUAAAGGCGCAAUGAAAGUGUCAGGGGCGCCUCCUUCAGGAGAGCGCCCCGCUGGGAGGAUGGGCCCCCGUACGAUCACUCGUCGGAGCCCCGCACUCCCGGGGCGUCUCGUUCUCAUCACGAGUGGAGACGCACCAGGAGCGCACACGCUGGUACCCGAAAGAUGGUGAACUAUGCCUGGCCAGGACGAAGCCAGGGGAAACCCUGGUGGAGGUCCGAAGCGAUUCUGACGUGCAAAUCGAUCGUCUGAGCUGGGUAUAGGGGCGAAAGACCAAUCGAACCAUCUAGUAGCUGGUUCCCUCUGAAGUUUCCCUCAGGAUAGCUGGCUCUCGGGAAGAGACGAGUCUCAUCCGGUAGAGCGAAUGAUUAGAGGUGAUGGGGUCGAAACGACUUCAACCUAUUCUCAAACUCCCAAUAGAUGAGAGCCCAGGCUUGCUUAAAAGUGAAGCCGCGGGACUCGGAUCAGAGAUGCCAAGUGGGCCAAUUUUGGUAAGCAGAACUGGCGCUGUGGGAUGAACCAAACGCAGAGUUAAGGCGCCUGAUUCGACGCUCACGUGAAACCAUGAAAGGCGUUGGUUGCUUAAGACAGCAGGACGGUGGCCAUGGAAGUCGGAAUCCGUGGGGGGGGGGGGGGGAAAAAUUCCCCCGGGGGGGUGUUGUUGUUUUUGGCGUUUUNARA
This 716-nucleotide ribosomal RNA is filed under the name Nezara antennata (eastern green stink bug). RNAcentral describes it as "partial large subunit ribosomal RNA". The record is from RNAcentral. Lineage: Eukaryota; Metazoa; Arthropoda; Insecta; Hemiptera; Pentatomidae.